Molecule: ribosomal RNA, 109 nt
Filed under: Periophthalmus magnuspinnatus
Lineage: Eukaryota; Metazoa; Chordata; Actinopteri; Gobiiformes; Gobiidae
Source: RNAcentral
AUUCCAAACCUCCUGGUCAAAGUCAGAUCUCAUGGAUCUUUGAAACGGAGCAAGGCCGGGCCUGGUCAGUACUUGGAUGGGAGACCGCUGGGAAUUCUAAGGGCCAAUG